CCGGCCGUACGAGGGAUGAAUGCCUUACGGGUUGUAAACCUCUUUCGAGCGGGGACGAUUGUGACGGUACCUGCAGAAGAAGCUCCGGCCAACUACGUGC
This 100-nucleotide ribosomal RNA is filed under the name uncultured bacterium. RNAcentral describes it as "partial 16S ribosomal RNA". The record is from RNAcentral.